AUUAAAUGGGGUGGUCGAAACCAAGAAGGAGCAGGCACCACCCUGGGGGAAGAGGUCGAACAAGUUAACAGCUUUUUUGUCGAGAACUGCUAUAUGCAGUAAAUACAUGACCAAAGGAGGCAAGUAUAUAACUGCAAAGAUAUACAAUCCAAAGUUAGAAGUCAAAGCUACUUACAAAAAAAAUAUUUGAACAGCCUUAGUAUUCAACUUUUGCAUGAUCCUGUGUCAUCCACAUCGUUGUUAAUGCAAGCCCAAGACCAUCUUCAUAUCAGCCUUUAAAAAAAUGAUAAAGUGAAAAAGUAUGCAACAUUUAGGGGAGCUAUUGAUUAUUUAUAUUAUUAUUAUUUUUAUUUUUAUUUAUUUUUUAGCCAGAACAGACAUGAUUACAAUCCAGGCCAUGGCAUGGAAUCAGCGCAAAAUACGGAAACUUGCAAAAGCGCUGUCCCUAAGAUUUAAAAAGACAAAAGCAAAAAUUCAGGAGGAGUCCUUAAAUCUUGAUGCAAUAAAGACAGACUUGGCAGUAACACAUGACACGCUUAUAGAUUGGACCAAUGAAAUCCAGCAAUGGGCUGAUACAGCAACAAGUGAGGAGAACACAGACAGUCAGCAGGUGCUCCAGAAGACUAUUGAGACGCUUUAUGUGAGCAUCAGGCAGAGAAAGCAAGAUCUUUACCGUCAAUCAGAUGGGAACAAGAGAAGACACAAACUCCGAAGAAAGAUUUUGGAAGAAAAAAAGCCAAAUUUUUGUGCAGCUGUAGAUGACUACAACAGGGCAGCAACUGAAAAACUGCAGUCAGCUGAUACAAUACUGGCAUCUGAGAGCUAUGCAUGGCCAUGGGUCCUUGAUGAACGUGGUAUGUCUUGUUACUCAUUUAAAUUCGGAUGAAUGUACUGUGUUUAUGUAGCAGCUUAUCUGUUUACAGUGGAUAUUGUUUGCAACUGUUGUACAGCAGGAUAUUUUGCAUGUUUCCUACAGUGUGUAUGCAUUUUGUCCGGCUAUAGCAAGCUUGUUCUGCAAUAGUGUAAGCACAUCUAGGACCGGUUUCACAGACAAGAGCUUAGACUAAGCUAGGAUUAGGUCAUAGGUUUAAGAUUUAAGUAGCUUUUAUAAAUGUGCCAUAGGAAACAAAACAUUACUGGUGCGCUUCUUGCGACCAAACAAUAGCAUUAACAAAUUUUAAGAUAUGUAAGUGCAGAUGGGUUUCAUCUUCACAGAUAAUCUUGCAACCAGGCCUUUGACCAACUGAUGCUGCUGAACCGGCUUACUGAAGAGGAGUGCAUUGUUCUGAAAGAAAUCCGGAAUCACUGGAAAAGCCUUACAAGGGAGCAUUCUCUUCUAAAUGAUCUUUUAAGUCAUGUUGCUGUUGAGAUAAAAGAGAACA
Cyprinus carpio carpio is the source of this 1382-nucleotide long non-coding RNA. Lineage: Eukaryota; Metazoa; Chordata; Actinopteri; Cypriniformes; Cyprinidae. The record is from Ensembl.